AACGAACGCUGGCGGCAUGCCUAACACAUGCAAGUCGAACGAAGGCUUCGGCCUUAGUGGCGCACGGGUGCGUAACGCGUGGGAACCUGCCCCUCGGUUCGGAAUAACAGUUAGAAAUGACUGCUAAUACCGGAUGAUGACUUCGGUCCAAAGAUUUAUCGCCGAGGGAUGGGCCCGCGUAGGAUUAGCUAGUUGGUGGGGUAAAGGCCUACCAAGGCGACGAUCCUUAGCUGGUCUGAGAGGAUGAUCAGCCACACUGGGACUGAGACACGGCCCAGACUCCUACGGGAGGCAGCAGUGGGGAAUAUCGGACAAUGGGCGAAAGCCUGAUCCAGCAAUGCCGCGUGAGUGAUGAAGGCCUUAGGGUUGUAAAGCUCUUUUACCAGGGAUGAUAAUGACAGUACCUGGAGAAUAAGCUCCGGCUAACUCCGUG
This 433-nucleotide ribosomal RNA is filed under the name uncultured bacterium. RNAcentral's name for it is "bacterial SSU rRNA". It matches the Rfam family "Bacterial small subunit ribosomal RNA", at positions 29 to 507 of the family's 1533-position model. The record is from RNAcentral.